This 301-nucleotide long non-coding RNA is filed under the name Capsicum annuum. RNAcentral's name for it is "long non-coding RNA (CANN_LNC005143)". Lineage: Eukaryota; Viridiplantae; Streptophyta; Magnoliopsida; Solanales; Solanaceae. The record is from RNAcentral.
UUUAUUCCUAAUAUUAUAUCCGCUUUUUGCAUUUCUUCCUUUACUUCGAAUUCUAUUUUUAUUUUUCUAACUCCUGUUAUUAUUUCUUUUUCUGCUAUAUUUUUACUAUUUAUUAAACUUCUUGGUAGAUUUGGGCACAUAUCAUUAUCAAUUUUUAUUUCUUCAUUUUUUACUAGAUAUUUUACUAUGUAGUUCUCUUCUUGUCCUGUAUUCAAAAGUAUUAGAUAUUCUUUUUCAUUUAUUUUUCCUGUUAUAUAAUAUUGGUUUAGAUUACUUAUUGAAUUGUAGGGGGUGCGGAUAU